This 496-nucleotide ribosomal RNA is filed under the name uncultured bacterium. RNAcentral's name for it is "partial 16S ribosomal RNA". It matches the Rfam family "Bacterial small subunit ribosomal RNA", at positions 29 to 507 of the family's 1533-position model. The record is from RNAcentral.
AUGAACGCUGGCGGCGUGCCUCAUCCCUGCAAGUCGAGCGCACGGACGAGAAGCUUGCUUCUCUGAUGUUAGCGGCGGACGGGUGAGUAACACGUGGAUAACCUACCUAUAAGACUGGGAUAACUUCGGGAAACCGGAGCUAAUACCGGAUAAUAUUUUGAACCGCAUGGUUCAAAAGUAAAAGACGGUCUCGCUGUCACUUAUAGAUGGAUCCGCGCUGCAUUAGCUAGUUGGUAAGGUAACGGCUUACCAAGGCAACGAUGCAUAGCCGACCUGAGAGGGUGAUCGGCCACACUGGAACUGAGACACGGUCCAGACUACUACGGGAGGCAGCAGUAGGGAAUCUUCCGCAAUGGGCGAAAGCCUGACGGAGCAACGCCGCGUGAGUGAUGAAGGUCUUCGGAUCGUAAAACUCUGUUAUUAGGGAAGAACAUAUGUGUAAGUAACUGUGCACAUCUUGACGGUACCUAAUCAGAAAGCCACGGCUAACUACGUG